AAAUUUCUCAGUCGUUUUGUGUACUCCAUUGCGUUAACACCUAAAAUAAAAAGCCAAAAAAAAUGGCAGUCCCUGUGGCGGCCGAAAAUUUCAGGCGUGGGAUUUUCGGAAGAGGCCAGGGGACAAGUGUACUCGACACUUUUGCAGUUUCACGGGGUUUCUUGCCGUCUACACAAAUCAACACUAAUUGAAUGGAAAUGCGUCUGGACUACAUACACUCUGAACUGCCCAAUAACCAUCCUCUUCUAUCAUCAUCAUAAUCAUUCUCAACGCUGCAAAAAUAAUACAAGAAUGCUAUAAUACGAACGCUCAUAAUCUCAACUACACGGAAAAUAAUACGAAAAGAAUAAUAUAAUACGAACGCUCAUAUAAUAUCAACGCUGCGAAUAAUAAUAUAAAACUGCUAUAAUACGGAUUACUCGAAUCUGGAAUACACUAAUGCAAGAAUAGUGUGGUGCGUAGGCUGAACUCUUAGAAAAAUAACACAAGACUGCUAUGACACGGAAUACUCGAAUCUGGAAUACAAUAAUGCAAGGAAACUGUGGUGCAAAGGCUAAACUCUGCGAAAAAUAAUGACAUCUAUGAUACGGAAUACUCGAGUGUGGAUCACAAUAAUACAAGGAUACUUUAGGACAAAGGCUAAACUCUGCGAAAAAAAAUGCUGCUAUAUACGAAUCGUUGGACUGGAAUCUGCUGCGCUAAUUGGAUGUAAUCCUUCCCACUUUGUUUAGUACACAGAUUUUGUUUGCGAUAUCUCUGAAUGUCUUAAUAAAACGUAAACGUCAAAGAGGA
Long non-coding RNA from Drosophila suzukii, 792 nucleotides. RefSeq lists it as uncharacterized. The record is from RefSeq and is a predicted model, not a curated record. NCBI's taxonomy places the organism in Eukaryota, Metazoa, Arthropoda, Insecta, Diptera, Drosophilidae.